CUCCUGAGAUGCUUUCCUCCCACCUGUCUUCUCAGGAACCUGAGUCCGCGGAGCUUGGGACAGCCACAUGUCCUCUUCUCAAGGAAGGACUCCCCAGAGAACACAGGCCACAGCCCCACGCCCUCAGCUCUCUGCCAGGGCCCCUCGCCUGUAUUUUGCCUAUGCUGGAUUCUUGGUUACAGCCGAUUAUGCACUCUCACGUGUUACGCAUGAGGCCUUAAACUACAAUACACCUGGAGCUCCUUAAGCACUUGUUCUCGUCAGGCACUUUUUCCAUGGCCUAACCCAAGUCCAGGAGGACAAGAGUGGAGGCUGUGACUGGGAUGUGCUAGGUCUGGCUGGCCUGAAUUCUUCACAUGGGUCCGUGUUCUCCUACCUGUGUGACCAUGGCUCCUCACACCUCAUAGAGCUGAGUUUCCUGGGCCCUAGGGAAUUCAGGAUAUUCAGCUGGGGACAGACAGACUUGCUGCUAGGGUCUUCCCAGUCUGUUCUCUGCUGUUUUGCUGCUAAAGAUUUACAGCUAAUGAAGGGAUAAAGAAAGGUCACGGCGAGAGGCGGCAGCAUGUGGUGGUGACUCACUGGCGAGGCCUGGUGUGGAGCCAGUUUGGGUGGAACACUCGACUGGCUGCUGGGCCUGUUUUCACGUGGCUCUCGGCCAUGGCCCUGCAGCAAGCAGUUUCUCGACAGUUCCUGGUCAGAGGAAAGUCAUGGUCGUUCUGUCUUCCCCUGCUGUCAUGGACUCAAGACAAGACGAUAAAGCCUGUUGUCCAUUUGACAAAGAAACCACAGGCUGCCCUUUGGACUGCGAUCUCUCUCCUUCCAUCAGAUCAGCCCUUCAGUCACGCAAUCGCUGCUUCUUCCACUGUCCCCAGCUGCCUGGGCUCUGAGACGUCUGUUGGAAUAACUGCACAACAUGAGGCUGUUGAUCAUCUCUUGCAUGCUAAAGGCUUGUGACAUGACAACAGAAGCUGAUCCCACCAUGGCUAAAAGAUUUGUAUUUUGUGGGAACUGAAGACUCUGAAUCGAACUCCUACAGAUGAAGCUAGCCCUGGGAAGGUUUGUCCAGACACAGCUGCACUUUUAAAAGGAAGGGUCAAAGUUUCUGAGGCUGCAGUUUCCUCAAUAUCAAGAGUACCAGGAACAAGAGAGGAAGGUGUUACCUGCAACCAGAGCGAACGUCUGCAAUAGGUCUUUUGGGGAUAUUUCCCAUGAGCGGGCCGGUCAGGAGAGACUUUGGAAUGCACUGUUGUUCUGUGGUCUGGCAAUGCCUAGAACCAAGCGGGUUGCACUUUGGAAAAUGUCAUUACCAGAUCGCACUAGCUUCAAUGACAUGCACUUCCCUCUAUCCACACUCAAUUCAUUAGCACUGUGACUCAUGUGCAGUGUGGAAACAGAGAAUAGCUUUGCAAAAAGGAAAAUUCCCACUGAGUUGCAAAGGGCUUGCCUGGGACCUGCAGCUGUUUGGGGGCUUCCGCUGCUCACAGUCUGAUAGUUGCCGACGUCCCACAGAGCUCUUCGCUUUGACAUUUUGCCUACCACAGUCACUAUGGGGCUUUUAGUGCUUCCAAAAACUAAAACCACCCCUACGAUUCUCCUGUGUUCACAAAACCCUGCCUGCCUUUCUCUGGUGGUCUCGGCCUUUCUCGAGGACCCUGUGGUUGAUACUUGUUGGUUCAAUGAGGUGUCAUUUGAACAGCAUAAAACAACAGAGCUGCUCCUCGGGAAGUUCUUGCUUUGCUCACUCUGUGUAUAUCUUUCCUUUAUAUCGUUUUCAACAUUAGAAAUAUAAGCCAGGUGUGGUGGUGCACACCUGUAAUCCCAGCGCUUGAGAGGCUGAGGCAGGAGGAUCGCUAUGAGGCCAGCCUAGGCUACAUAGUAAGACCUUGUCUCAAGAAAAAGAAAAAAGAAAUAUAAUACCUGUUUAUUGAAGGUAAAUUAGAAAACACAAAUCUACAAUGAAGAAAAGAAGACAAAAGAAAAAAUUACUUGUGAUCUCACAAUGCAGACACAGCCAUUGUUAACCUUUGGGUUAUAUCCUUAUGUUUUUGUUUUGUUUUCAACAAAGGAGGGGAGAGGAGAAAUUGUCAGAGGACAUGUGGCAUUUUCUCAGCAGAACUGUCAAAAUGCUGCUUUAAGGAAAUCUUUGAUUUCUUGGCAAACAGAUCUCAAUAAUUUUCAAUGAUAUACAGGGUUUUUGGAAAUCUCAUAGGAAAUGCUAUAUUCUUCUCUAUGCUGAUGAAGGGUCUAUCUGGGAGAGAUUCUGUGUGCGUGUAUGUGAGUGUGUGUGUGCUUGCGCACGUAUGUAAAUGGACUGUCUGUGGCUCCUGAAAAAGAAAUUCUGUUGCUGGAUUUGCUGACUCACUGCCAAACUCUGCUGUGCAGGCGAGGAGCAGAUUCUGAGUUAUUCAAGCCAAACAUUUGGCCCUCUUGGUUUAUUGGCUACUGUGACAGACUUCUCCUCACACCUCACCUCCUUGCUGGCGGGUGGACAUAUCAAGCGUUUUGUUCAUUUUGCCUCCUGAUCUCCUCCUAUUUCUUCCAAUUACUCCUUAACGUUUCACACAUUUGUACCAGUACCACCCCAGCUCCCUACUGCACAGCGGCAGGAAUAGCCAGACGCUUCCUUCCUGAGGUCGAGGCAGGAAUUCACCGUCUCCUUCCGAAGUCUCCCUGGGCAUGUGCUCGCCCGCUUGCUCCCAAGCUGUCAGGAGGCGUCCUCUGGGAGGAGCUCGGCUCGCCUCGUUUGUUCCCAGGCCCUCAGAAUAGCCUCGUGUUUCCUCUCUGCACCCAAGAUCACCCACAUAGCACCUGCUCUCAGCUUGGUCUGCAAUGGCAUGUUCUUUCUUGGGUUGAGCUCCAAGAACCAGGUCCAAUUACCUUCUUGGCACUGUCAUCCCGCACCUGAAAGACCUCUAUUUUUCCUCAGUUUGAGAAAGAAGUGUGCUUUGUCAUUUGGAUUUGGGAAGACAAAGUGCUUCCUUCUACCACACCUCGUGCACCAGAUCACUGCUAAAUAAUGCAGUUCUAGAACUGGAAGAGAUCUUAGGCACCGUGAAGUCAUCUACUGCUUCCCAGCAAGUCUCAAUUGGAUGGUCUGUUCAGAUCAUUGCCAGACAGGUUGUAAAGCAAAUUCUCAAGAGGAGGACAGAGGAGGGGAUGAACAGUGGAUACUACCAGAAUGUUAGAGCUGUCAGUAUCAUGAAAGCACAUUGUGACUUCAUCCUUAGGUUUUGAUUGAGAUUUUAUUUGGGUUUUUUUUUGAUCCUUUAUAUCUUUAUCUGUAGCAAAUAAUUAUUGAAGAAAAAAUGUCAUUAGGGAAACAUCUUAGGAAAUUUGCUUUAAGGAAUUUACACAAAACUUUAAAUUCCUUUUUAUUUAGAUUAUUUAACUUGCUUAUUUAAGGAAAAAGGGCUUAUCAUUGCUAUAUGGAGCUCAUUUAGAAGACAUGCACAAAUAAUAGCUUACAUUUAUGGGGCACUGGCUGCUUCCCAAGCACUGUUCUAAGUAAUUCACAUAAUACUGGCUCAUUAAAUCCUCUCAAGAAUUAUCAGGGAUGGGUAUAAUUAUCCUUAUUUCAUGGAUAGGGAAAGUGAGGCACAAAGAGGUGAAAGAACUUGCCUGUAUUCACAUAGCUAGGAAGUUGCAAAGCCAUGACUUGAACCUGGGUAGUCUGAAAUCACAAUAAAAAAAAAAGCAGGUAAGGCCAGGUGCGGUACCAUGUGCCUGUAAUCCCAGCUACUUAUGAGGCCAAGACAGGAGAAGGCAAGUGUGGGGUUAACCUGAGCAACUUAGUGAGACCCUGUCUCAAAACAAAAGAUUAAAAAAGGCUGGGACGUAGCUCAAGGUGAGGCCCUCAGUUCAACCCCCAGCCCCGCUCCCAGCAAAGUAAAAUCGGAACAAAUUCAUUUUACUCUUUCCAAGCACCUUACACGUGAAUUUUAAGUGGCAGUUAAUGUGGGAUAGGAAGGAAUAGAGGAAGAACUGUUUAGAGUCGAGAGAUGAUGUGAAAGAGUGAAAAUGAAGAAAGAUGUAGCUGAGACUUCUGGAGUGGGUCUGAGAUAAGAAUUCCAGUGGGACCAGUGUGGCACAGCCCUCUGCUGUGUGCUUAGACUGGCCUCAGGCAGUAUGGCAGGCAGCCAGGAAGUGUGGCUGGUGACUGAUUCUUGUCACUCACUGUCCUGGUGCCCUGCUCCUCAUCCUGAGACAGACAGUGCUGCCCACAGCUCCCUCUGAGUUCCCAGCCACCUGAAGCACUCCUCCCAUCCGGACCCAAAGUCGCUUUCCUUUUACAGAGCCAGAAUUGGAGUCCUUUCUUUUCAGACAUCUUCGUACCUCACAACACGUAGGACCAUCCCGCUGUUCUAGGUCUAAACCCAGGGGGCCAGCUAGGUUUGGGAAAUCAGAAUCUUUCAGAUUUGGAAAGGUCAAAUGAUCUAUAUUACAGAUAUAAUAUUUCUAAUGGAGUCUGGGUCAGUACUCUAUAAACAAAUACAUUCACAUUUCUACUGCAAAAUGUAUAUGUAUCGUCAUGGGAACUGAGAUCAGUAAGACCUACACAGAGCUUCCUGGUCAAAAGAUCAGAUUUUGCCACCAAAAGAGUUUUUGUGCCCAAUAUAUGAAAACAUUUUGAUUGUGAGCCUUUUCAGAUUUUUGAACCGAGGAUAAGGGAUUGUGAAUAGCAUCACCAAUUCCUUCCACUCUAAGGGCAGGAGCUGGAAUAUGCAGACAAAGCCCUUCCUGCAUUUCCUGUGCUGGCUGGAAAAUAGUCCUGUUUGGGCUGAUUCUUAAGAACCAAAGUUCCAAUCUCAUUCCAGAUUUUCGCAGGGAAAGUAGACAGGAAAGAGUCAGUAUCUGCACUCCUCAUUCCCUGUGGGUUUGGGGAGCAAAAGUAAUAAAGAAAAUACAAACUCAGGGAAGAAAAGA
Molecule: long non-coding RNA, 4923 nt
Organism: Chinchilla lanigera (long-tailed chinchilla)
Lineage: Eukaryota; Metazoa; Chordata; Mammalia; Rodentia; Chinchillidae
Exons: 8
Source: RefSeq, a predicted model, not a curated record